RNAcentral lists this ribosomal RNA (422 nucleotides) under bacterium Ellin5028. Its description in RNAcentral is "bacterial SSU rRNA". It matches the Rfam family "Bacterial small subunit ribosomal RNA", at positions 39 to 478 of the family's 1533-position model. Lineage: Bacteria; Bacillati; Actinomycetota; Actinomycetes; Streptosporangiales; Nocardiopsidaceae. The record is from RNAcentral.
GCGGCGUGCUUAACACAUGCAAGUCGAGCGGAAAGGCCCUUCGGGGGUACUCGAGCGGCGAACGGGUGAGUAACACGUGAGUAACCUGCCCUUGGCUCUGGGAUAAGCCCGGGAAACUGGGUCUAAUACCGGAUAUGACCACCUUCUGCAUGGAGGGUGGUGGAAAGUUUUUCGGCUGAGGAUGGACUCGCGGUCUAUCAGCUUGUUGGUGGGGUGAUGGCCUACCAAGGCGACGACGGAUAGCCGGCCUGAGAGGGUGACCGGCCACACUGGGACUGAGACACGGCCCAGACUCCUACGGGAGGCAGCAGUGGGGAAUAUUGCGCAAUGGGCGAAAGCCUGACGCAGCGACGCCGCGUGGGGGAUGAAGGCCUUCGGGUUGUAAACCUCUUUCACCACCGACGAAGCUAACGUGACGGUAG